UCCAAUGUAGGUAUUUGUUUU
Molecule: non-coding RNA, 21 nt
Filed under: Caenorhabditis elegans
Lineage: Eukaryota; Metazoa; Nematoda; Chromadorea; Rhabditida; Rhabditidae
Source: RNAcentral